RNAcentral lists this ribosomal RNA (550 nucleotides) under uncultured bacterium. RNAcentral describes it as "bacterial SSU rRNA". It matches the Rfam family "Bacterial small subunit ribosomal RNA", at positions 355 to 896 of the family's 1533-position model. The record is from RNAcentral.
UAGGGAAUCUUCCACAAUGGACGCAAGUCUGAUGGAGCAACGCCGCGUGAGUGAAGAAGGUCUUCGGAUCGUAAAACUCUGUUGUUAGAGAAGAACACGAGUGAGAGUAACUGUUCAUUCGAUGACGGUAUCUAACCAGCAAGUCACGGCUAACUACGUGCCAGCAGCCGCGGUAAUACGUAGGUGGCAAGCGUUGUCCGGAUUUAUUGGGCGUAAAGGGAACGCAGGCGGUCUUUUAAGUCUGAUGUGAAAGCCUUCGGCUUAACCGGAGUAGUGCAUUGGAAACUGGAAGACUUGAGUGCAGAAGAGGAGAGUGGAACUCCAUGUGUAGCGGUGAAAUGCGUAGAUAUAUGGAAGAACACCAGUGGCGAAAGCGGCUCUCUGGUCUGUAACUGACGCUGAGGCUCGAAAGCGUGGGGAGCGAACAGGAUUAGAUACCCUGGUAGUCCACGCCGUAAACGAUGAGUGCUAGGUGUUAGGUCCUUUCCGGGACUUAGUGCCGCAGCUAACGCAUUAAGCACUCCGCCUGGGGAGUACGACCGCAAGGUUG